CUUUAUGCAAAAUGAUGGAUCCUUUUUGGAUCUAAAUACACACGGUUUGUCUGAACUAUUAAAAUAUAUAUUUAUAUCAUAAAUAAUGAAGGAAGCAAAUGGUACAGAAAACAUAGAGGUUUAUAGGUGGUUCUUUCUAAGACAAAUAGGUGUGUUGCCCACCCAGUAUUUCGCCCAGCUGGACAAAGUUGGUAACCUGGGACCACACAGUGGUAGCUGCCUACAGAGGUACCAAGGCUUUUAUUCCAUCAGCCCCUUUCCAGUUCUUCCUUCCAUGCUCAGAACCUGCCUUUUUCAGAGUGAGUUUUUCCUACAAGCACAGCAAAGGUGCUGCAUCACCCUCUGCAGGGUGUCUGUGAGUGUAUUAAGGUCUGCCUGGGGCCAUGUAAGCCCCUCGUGUUGGAACAAUCCCCUUGCCAUAGCUUCAUGCAUUCCCAUGCAUCAGCCAUCUCCACUCCCAGAAGCUCCAGCUGCUUUCUGGGGCUGCACCACCAGAGAUGGCAUAGAAUCCAUCAGAGGGGUGGAUGUGCACAGCAGGAGAGCAUCCAUCACCAGCAGCGUGUUGGAAUUGGGCAGCACAGGGUGGAUCCAGGGCUCUCAUCCAACCGACUGCAAAACAGCUGCCCUAUUUUAACUUACCAUUCCAGCCUGCAGAAAGACACAGGGUUCUGGAUGAGAGUGGCUGCGUAGAUCAGGAAACGAUGGACUCAGAAUCACAGAAUGACCAAGGCUGGAGAAGAUCUCUAAGACCACCCAGUCCAACCAUCCACCCAUCACCAGUAUUUCACCCCUAAACCAUGCCCCUUAGUACAGCAUCUCGAUGUUUCUUGAUCACCUCCAAGGAUGGUGACUCCACCACCUCCCUGAGCAGUCUGUUCCAGCACCUGGCUACACUUUUGGAGGAAAAAAUCCCUACUAUCCAACCUGAACCUCCCCUGGCACAUAAAAGCAUUCAAUAAAAAUAGGUUGGUAUCAUUAAAAAUGUGGGGA
This 990-nucleotide long non-coding RNA is filed under the name Coturnix japonica (Japanese quail). RNAcentral's name for it is "lncRNA (ENSCJPG00005020672.1)". Lineage: Eukaryota; Metazoa; Chordata; Aves; Galliformes; Phasianidae. The record is from RNAcentral.